AGAGGGAGAGAAAAAAGAACAGAGGGGGAAAAGGAAAUAAAAAUACCAUAUGAUUUCCCAUGAGGUAGAAAUUGCAGAUUGUCUCCUUCCUGACCCCUGGACUUGCACUGAUCUUGAGAUGAGACCAAAUAGGGGAUGUGAAUGGUAACACAGAUUGUGCUGCUUUAUGAUGGGGCACUGGAUGAUAAAGUUCUUAUUAUAAUGCCAUACAUGUAUUCGAAGGAGGGCCUUGAACCACGAAUUUGGAACAGUCUACCUUGAAGACAUGUCAGGCUUCUUCACAGCAGCGUUGCGAUGUGGCUUUUAUUACACAGGUAUUUUGUCUGGCUUGUCUUGUGUAGGAGAAUUUUAUAAUUUAAUGGACAUUAAAACAUUGAUAAAAGAACAUGACAACAAUAGUAAAAUCUAAUAAAAUUUUGAUGGGUAACUGGCGUUCUCUGUGUCCACACUGUCGCGUCUGGUGUAGACACGGUGAUAGGCACAUCGGUUACACAGCAUAUUGCUUUAUAAACAGCCAUAUGUCAGCAAUAUGAGGAAAGGCAGUGAUGUUUAAAGUUUAAUAAUGUAUUGUUUCUAAUAAUCCUUAUAAACAAUCUGUCUGUCAAGUAAUGUAAACGUGUAUUCACAACUGUAGGAAGUUUAAUUUUUCACUCCUCCAAAACUGCACAUCCAAUCAGAAUUCAGGGUUGUUUUCAUUGAGAGAAAUUGUGUGAUCGUUUUAAAGUGUUUUUUUCUAAAUGGGUUGAUAAGUGUUAAAGAUUGUAACUCUUGCUCUCAAGUUUUCAUUCAAUUGUUUGUGAGUGCAUCAACCUGUCAUCUUACAUUUUGUGAUCAGUUCGUUUACACGAGUGACAAGCACUUCAAUAUAAAUCAGUGGAGCAAAAAAGGGAAUUACAGAGGUCAUUGUUUCCGUUUAGGUCACACACAUCCACUGUCAGAUUCAACAGACCAAUUAGAUGAUGCGGUAAAAGCCUCUCACAUCCUUUACUAAAGAAACUAACCAUAUUAGCAGGCUCUCCAUCUUAUCUUUGAGCGAUAAACAGGCAGCUAUUCGAUUACAGCUAUUAAAUUAGAAACAGUCUCUAAACAAACAAUUACCUGAUUGUAAGUGUGGGACGGGUAAAGGGGGAUAAUGUAUAUUCAAGAAUUGUCUGAAUGCUCUAUUCAUAUUGCCUAGUUUACUUUUCCUAAAUGUUUCUGUGACUAGCAGUGAGCAUUUGUAAUAGUAAAAUGUGUGUUUUGGAAGUGAUGAAUGCAAGAUGGUUCCAUUUAAACGUAUCAUUUUUUUGUUUAAUGGCUUGAAUUAGUUUGAUAGCAUCAUUACAAUACAAUAGAGCAAAAAUCAGAUACCAACUCCACAUUUCUCUCUCUCUCGCUCUCUCGCACCCUGUUUCACCUUACACACAUACAUUGGAUCUGAAAAUAUACAGCCCUGAAUCAAAUGUCAUUUAGUUAGAACAGAGCAGUUUUUUAAGAAGAGAAAUGUGUGUAUAAGGUUAAAUUGCAUUUGGGUUUCAAUAUGUAUACUAAUUACAGUUGAUGUUGUAAUGACCCAGCUGUCACUCAAUACAGCUCUCGGGUUACUGUAAUGACUGCUAUUCUACCCAUGAGCCUCUGAGCUUUUUCAAUCACAACAAUAAAAACACAAUAGCAGCUUACUGAAGGAGCCGCCUGUGUUUGUGUAGUGCAAAGAAGUGUGUACAUAACGUGUGUGAAUUUGAUUUUCUUUCUUUCUUUCUUUCUUUCUUUCUUUCUUUCUUUCUUUCUUUCUUUCUUUCUUUCUUUCUUUCUUUCUUUCUUUCUUUCUUUCUUUCUUUCUUUCUUU
Triplophysa rosa is the source of this 1825-nucleotide long non-coding RNA. RefSeq lists it as uncharacterized. NCBI's taxonomy places the organism in Eukaryota, Metazoa, Chordata, Actinopteri, Cypriniformes, Nemacheilidae. The transcript has 3 exons. The record is from RefSeq and is a predicted model, not a curated record.